UACGUAGGGGGCAAGCGUUGUCCGGAUUUAUUGGGCGUAAAGAGCGUGUAGGCGGCUGGGUAGGUCCGUUGUGAAAACUCGAGCUCAACCUCGAGACGCCGAUGGAAACCCUCCAGCUAGAGUCCGGGAGAGGAGAGUGGAAUUCCUGGUGUAGCGGUGGAAAUGCGCAGAUAUCAGGAAGAACACCCGUGGCGAAGGCGGCUCUCUGGAACGCAACUGACGCUGAGACGCGAAAGCGUGGGGAGCAAACAG
RNAcentral lists this ribosomal RNA (252 nucleotides) under uncultured bacterium. RNAcentral's name for it is "partial 16S ribosomal RNA". It matches the Rfam family "Bacterial small subunit ribosomal RNA", at positions 524 to 775 of the family's 1533-position model. The record is from RNAcentral.